Molecule: ribosomal RNA, 140 nt
Filed under: uncultured Mycobacterium sp.
Lineage: Bacteria; Bacillati; Actinomycetota; Actinomycetes; Mycobacteriales; Mycobacteriaceae
Description: partial 16S ribosomal RNA
Rfam family: Bacterial small subunit ribosomal RNA
Source: RNAcentral
UGAUCUGCCCUGCACUUCGGGAUAAGCUUGGGAAACUGGGUCUAAUACCGGAUAGGACCAUAUGCUGCAUGGUGUGUGGUGGAAAGUUUUUAACGGUGUGGGAUGGGCCCGCGGCCUAUCAGUUUGUUGGUGGGGUGAUG